AGUCUAGGUAUUUAUUAUAUUUAUACAUAUGGAGAUUUGAAUUUAUUUUUUUGGGAGAGAAAAUUAGAUAUGUUCUUUUUGGUUCUACAUGUUAAGGGGAAGAAGUGUUUUCUUUUAAUUACGGGUUGGGUAUCAGGCUUUAAAUAAAUAAAUAAUUAAAUAAGAGCAGGAAAACAAAUAGUGAUAUUGGGAUGGAAAUAUUUAAGGAAGUUUUAGAGUAAACUAGGGUAAAAAAAGGAGAUUCUUUCAACGUGAAAAGUAACCUAGCAACCUUCAUUCAAAUUAGGGCAUUGGUGAAGAGGGUGAGACCUUGCAACUCUGUAGUGAACCAAGCAAGACAUUAGAAAAGUUUAUUUAGAUUCAGGUAAGGGGAGUGGCUAGAAUUAUCUUGUGCUUGUAGUGUUUGAUAUUGUAUGUUAUUUUUCUUAUUAUGUGUUGCAUUGUAUGAGGCUGGUGUUGUUUUUCCUCUACAUGGAAAAUUUGGGGGUGACGAGGGAUGUGUUGAGCGAGGGACUGUCAUGGAGGGGUACAUGGUUUCUCCUUGUUUUAUGCUCUUUGAUUUACACGACAAAAAAAAAAAAUAGGUAGGCAUGAGUUUCUCUUCGUUUACUGAAUGAUAAUUGGGGAAGAGUUGUUAUAUAUAUAUAUAUAUAUGUGUGUGCGCGCGCGCGCGCCAGAGUGAGAGAAGAGCAGGGUAAUUCAAUUAUAUUUUUGGAUAUAUGAUAGAAGUUGGUGGCAAAGUUAAUAGUGAGACACGAUUUUGGUUUUGUUUGAAUUACUUUUAGAGUAGGUAAUAUUUUAUUCAUACUUUGUCAUUCUUUUGAUAAGCUUUUGUGGAGAUUUCCGUGGAAGUAAGACAAGAGUGAUGCAUGGGUUGGUUGCACCAAGUAGAAAUUGUAUAUUGAAGAUCUUGUUGAAGAUCUUUGGGUUGACACAUUGGUACAACAAAAAUUCUUCUUCUCCUCUUACACUUUUUCACUCAACUUAGGCGGUCCAUCUUCUAUAAUAUCUAAAACAUCCGGGAAGCCAAAGAUAGCUUGCAUCUUGAUGCAUCAGUCAUCAAAGUGUUUCCCAUCAAACACUAGUAAUGGCCCACGUAUACUCAAAUGCCUACCAUCCCUUUCUUGCUGAACUCUUGCAAUUUCUUUGAUUUUCACACAUCCAAAAAAACCUUCUUUCUCCUCUUUUGGAUACACACAAUUCCAAUCACCAAUCACACACCCACUUCACACACCAGGAACCACCAAACUUGUGCUCUUGAUACCAUAUUAGAUGUGAGGGCAUAAAAGGAAAAGUAUGUGACAUUUUAAAUGUUAUAUUAAAACACAAACACUUUGGCAAGAGAGAGAAACACGUUUUCAGAAUCUGAUGGCUUGAGAGAAGACAGAGAAAAUGAACCCUCAUGCUAGGGUUUUCAAACCACCACCCACACUGGCUAGAGAAACAAAAAAACACACUCACUGGAACACUGAAACACAACGUAGAGAGAAAACAUAGGCACUCACAAGGUACUGAAUUUCGAAUUUUUCUCAUUAACCACAUAUUGAAUGUUUUACAGUAUUUAUAUAAACUGAAAUGAACUGAAAAUUGUUUCUGUUUUGUUUAAAUCUAACUUGCUCCUAUUAACCACC
Molecule: long non-coding RNA, 1631 nt
Filed under: Vigna radiata
Lineage: Eukaryota; Viridiplantae; Streptophyta; Magnoliopsida; Fabales; Fabaceae
Description: long non-coding RNA (VRAD_LNC003674)
Source: RNAcentral